Molecule: transfer RNA, 77 nt
Filed under: Channa lucius
Lineage: Eukaryota; Metazoa; Chordata; Actinopteri; Anabantiformes; Channidae
Description: tRNA-Leu
Rfam family: tRNA
About the family: Transfer RNA (tRNA) molecules are approximately 80 nucleotides in length.
Source: RNAcentral
AUGCUGGAGUGGCAGAGCCCGGAUAACUGCAAAAGACCUAAGCCCUUUUCACAGAGGUUCAAAUCCUCUCCCCAGCU